CGUCAAGUCCUCAUGGCCUUUAUGGACCAGGGCUACACACGUACUACAAUGGCCGAUACAAAGGGCAGCGACACUGCGAGGUGAAGCCAAUCCCGUAAAAUCGGUCUCAGUCCGGAUUGGAGUCUGCAACUCGACUCCAUGAAGUUGGAAUCGCUAGUAAUCGUGGAUCAGCAUGCCACGGUGAAUACGUUCCCGGGCCUU
RNAcentral lists this ribosomal RNA (201 nucleotides) under uncultured Desulfobulbus sp. RNAcentral's name for it is "partial 16S ribosomal RNA". It matches the Rfam family "Bacterial small subunit ribosomal RNA", at positions 1183 to 1382 of the family's 1533-position model. The record is from RNAcentral. Lineage: Bacteria; Pseudomonadati; Thermodesulfobacteriota; Desulfobulbia; Desulfobulbales; Desulfobulbaceae.